Folsomia candida is the source of this 2060-nucleotide long non-coding RNA. RefSeq lists it as uncharacterized. Lineage: Eukaryota; Metazoa; Arthropoda; Collembola; Entomobryomorpha; Isotomidae. The transcript has 2 exons. The record is from RefSeq and is a predicted model, not a curated record.
UUGGUUUUGGCUAAUUUACUUUGCUGGGGUGGAAAAGGUCACAAAUUUUGGCUGCCUUGCAGCAAAUUUGUAAAUAUUGUCUGUACAACUAUUUUACGGUGUAUUUGCAAAAACGGUAACGCCUUGCAAUACAGCAUCAUCGAAGAGAAAUGGUCUACUUAGAUAACUUUAAACUCAGGGGAAGGUCACAACUGAAUUGUAAAUUCCAGUUCCAUCGCCUGCACAAUCGAAGAGGAGUAUCAUUUGGUGUUUCGUUGUUGAGUUUUACUGCUAAAUGUUGCUAAUCUUUCGCCGAAUCUUCAUUAUCGAUGUUUAUUUAAUUUAAUUCCGAUAAAUUGCAGAUCAUAAAUAGUAUGUACAGCAUACUAUGUAGUAUCAAAAUAAAGUAGUAUUUGCGGGAUUUCGCAUCUGACCGUUUAUUGCUUUGUGCUACCCUACAUUAAUAGAAUACUUAAUUGGUAGAAUAACGGUGCAAGCAUGUGUUUCACGUACUGUUUCCCGUAGGGAUCGGCAGCACAAGGAUGCCGAGUAUCCGAGACUUUUGAUGCGGUUUUAUUUCGCACAAAGCACAUGACUCUGGUGUUGAAUUAUUAAAUAAUGGAUACUCACCGGAGUUGGGAAGAAAGACAGUCUGUCGUUCUUUCCUACUUUCUCCUGAACAAGAGAAAGCAAUUUGCCAAAUAAAGUGCAAAGUUCAGUAGUAGGUCAAAAGUCAUUAAAUAUGAAUCAUUUAUAUCACCUUCACUGCAGCCAUGGACGGAAAAGUCGUCGAAUUUGUAAAUCAAAUUAUCUGUGCAACAACAUGUAAAAAUAGAACAGUUCCAACAUAUUGUGCGGCAGAAAAGUAAAUAAUGACGUAAAUAGUUUACGUAUUUUUCCAUGUGCAUAUAUCCAUCAUCUAUUAUUCUCUUUGGCACCCACCAGUUUGCAUUGAUAUUGCAUUUAAUUUCUUCUUUUGUUUGCACUUUGUUUGAGGAAAACUAAUAAAUUGGUUCGAUUCUCUUGGUUUCGUAGUUUACUUCAACAGCACCCAACUGGCAGCUUCCCAAAUUCCGUAGGCUUUGUUCCGAAGCUCCUUUCAGGAUCAAAAAUGGUCCAAAAAGAAGCAAGUAUUUCAUUUACUCACUCGAACAAAAUAUUUCCCACUCGUCUCAAGGCGUGGAUUUCAUCCUUUUCUAUUUUAUUGUGAGAUACGUUGCAAUUAGUUUUCGGGGAAGAGAGAAAAGUUUGUUCUUUUGAAUGGAAGAUUGACGUAAUUAAUUGAGUUUCGGUUCUUUUCAAUCUCAAUCUCAACGAAUGGUUGGCGAGAGUAAGUUGGUCCCUUUAAUAACUUCGUGACCCAACACUCAAAUUAAAUUAGCCCACUCACCAGGAACGGAAUACGGUAUUAUGCAUGCGGUAUACAUAACUGGAUAAAAUGGUGGUAGAAAUAAAUUAAUUACAAAAUUCAAAUUAGUUUCACUUUUGAAAUUUUGCGUUUGCUUUCAGAUUAGCUCUCUUAUGGCACUACUGCCAUUUAAGAACUAUGUAUGAAUUACAUUCAGAAUAGUAAGUUUCCUUCUUAUUUAGUAUGCAAAGAACAUGUGUCUACCUUGUAACUUUCUAUUAUAAAUUGAGUAUGACAAUCCUAUUAAUGGAUACCCAGCAUGAUUAAAGCUGAUUGUAGAGAUUGCACACUGUGUUUAGGAUUAGUGGUAGCAAAUUCCAUAAAGAACAAUAGGUCACCAGACCACUGUUACUACCUGAUACUUACAAAUAUGGUAAAUAAAUACGUAAGAGAUAUUGCGUCUAUUUGUGCAUAUCAGUUUAUCAGUUGGGCAUUAAUUUAUUAUUGUUUGUUCCGAGGAGCGCCGGACCAAAUUAUAAACUUAUCGCGUACUGGAUAUCAAUGAUGUAUUUAUGAUGGUCGUGUGCUCUGCAAGUAUAAUUUAGUCUACAGAUUGAACAAAUUGAACACCAUUCUGCCCUUUAGAAUUUUGUUUAACGUCUCAUUCUCUUGAACUUUAUGGUAAAAAAAGUUUAUGACAUAAUCCGUUUAAAUAAAUAGAUGAACAUCUUGA